Xyrichtys novacula (pearly razorfish) is the source of this 3869-nucleotide non-coding RNA. The record is from the annotation of a GenBank genome assembly. Lineage: Eukaryota; Metazoa; Chordata; Actinopteri; Labriformes; Labridae.
AGGGAGAGAGAGAGGGCAGGGGGAGAGAAAGAGAACAAGAUAGAGGGAAGAAGAGAGAGAAUGAGUAAGGGAGGGGGAGGGAGGGGGAGGGAGGGAGAGAGAGAUGGGGGACAGCAGCAACAUUAAAACAACAGCAACAACAACAACAGCUCAUGAAGAGUUGUGGUUGCAGGGCAAGUGAUGAUGGAACAAUAUGAAUUUAGUUUACAGGAUCAGGAUAGAAGUAAUUAUGGACGAUGUUGAAUUAAUUUACUGUGAUUACAGUCAGCAGGCCUAAUAGUAGUUAACUCUAGUUUUAUGUUAUUAAUUUUGGUAAGGCUGAUGUUCAUGUCUGCAGCAACAGUCCAGAGGAACCUAAGAGAAGAAGGAGCUCAGGGCCUGAGGCGGACAAUCAUAGACGAUGCAACUGGAGUCAGGCAGGUCCACAGCAGCAGACCGUCUACAGCAACAGUCCAGAGGAACCGAGGAGACUGUGGGACUCAGAGACAUACAGAGAGAUCUGGUUAGUAAUUUAUUUGGGAGAAAAUGACUUCAAUGUAAUAAAGAAAUGAUUAAUUAUGGACGAUGUUAAAUUAAUUGAAGGUGAUCAAAGUUGGCAAGUUUAAUGGCAGUUUACCUAAGUUUUAUGUUAUUAAUGUCAGUGAAUCUGACGUACAUGUCUGCAGCAACGUUCCAGAGGAGCCUAAGAGAAGAAGGAGCUCAGGGUCUGAGGUGGACGAUCAUAGACGAUGCAGCUGGAGUCAGGCAGGUCCACAGCAGCAGACUGUCUACAGCAACAGUCCAGAGGAACCUAGGAGACUGUGGGACUCAGAGACAUACAGAGAAAUCUGGUUAGUAAUUUAUUUAGGAGAAAAUGACUUCAAUGUAAUAAAGGAAUAAUUAAUUAUGGACGAUAUUAAAUGAAUUUAAGGUGAUUAAAGUUGGCAGGUUCAAUGGUAGUUUACUCCAGUUUUAUGUUAUUGGUGUCACUUAGGAUGACGUACGUGUCUGCAGCAACAAUCCAGAGGAGCCUAAGGGAUGGAGGAGCUCAGGGCCUGAGGUGGAAGAUCAUAGAUGAUGCAGCUGGGGUCAGGUAGGUCCACAGCAGACUGGGUCAACUUAGGGUCAACGCUUUGUUUUCAGUACUACAGAAGUGGUUCACUUCUCAACAUGGUUUAUCAUCAUGGAAACUGAUGCUGACCCAAUAACCUGCAGGACAGGUUACGUUCAGAAGAAGAGAAGUUUGAAGGAAACUCCAUUCAAUGACCAAUCAAUUUGCCUGGCUCUGACUUUUUUUAGAGUUAGGGCUUAAAAUAUAGAAUAAAAAACCUUGACUUGCUCUGUCAAUGUCCACACCAGUAACCCGUAACACCAGAAACUGUACAUGAACGAUUUGGAGUCAAACAGAGGAGUUCUGACCGACUGAGUAACUGGGACAGCAGUUCUGGGAAAUCAUGUGUUACUUCAAAUUAUGAGAUAAGAUGCUAACACUAUAGUGGUACAACUGAAAGAUUUGAUAGCACAAAUGUUUUUCUGCCCAAAGUUUCCCUUUCAGAUUUGACUUCCUUUCACUUAUUCACUCUGUUAUUCAACGAAACUGGAGACUAGCGAGCACAAUCAAGAGCAGACCCUAUUGAAAUUACUUGCAGUAUACCUGCAGCUAAGGCUGCACGAUAUUGGAAAAAAAUAAUAUUGCGAUUUUUUCAACCCUGCGAUAUAUAUUGCGAUAUUAAAAAUAUAGGAAUUUUCACCAGAUGACCUGAAUAGCACUUAAUGUUAUGCUGCACUGCUGAAAUCUUGAGGACAGUUAUCCUGCACUGAUCUUACCUCUUUUUGUGAAUGUUAGAAUGGCUUCUGUCUCAGAGAUAUUUUUAGCUUUUAUUGUGCUGGGACGUUAUCAGGGCUCUCAAGUUUUGAACUAAGCUUAGAGUGAGAUUUCCUGGGGGGGGGGGGGGGGUGAAGAUAACUAUUAGUAUAAUUAUCUCUUAAAUACAACGGAGCACAAGGGGCACAAUUAGAAAAAAACGUUUUUAUAUCUUACAGAAUAAAGUUAUUAUUUGGGAGAAUAAAAUCAUUAAUGUAUAAGUAUUAAGUCGUAAAGUUGUUAAAAUCUGCACUGUGGAGCAUUUAGAUGAAUUUUACUUUAGUAUAGGUUUCACAAACAUGGAGAUACUUAAUCCUUUGGUACAUGAGCAUUACACUGUCAUGAGUAUCAGAACUUAUAUUUGAGAUAUAUGAGAAAUGCAGCUUUUGUGGAGGGGAAAAUGGCUGGAAAUGGCUGUACGGAGGCUAAAUCCGUCAAUACAGCUGUUAAUAGCAAUAGCAUAGGGCUUUAGUUUAUCAUAUGAGUUUAUAUGCCAUGAGGUGUUGAGGUCUCUGCAUGUGUAGGUUACUGACUUACUGUAAUCAUCGGGUCUAUCUCGUCCUUAUAAAAACCUGCUCUAUUACGGCGAGUGUCUGUCCUCUCCUGUAGUCAAACCGCAAGAUAUCAAAAUCUACCCGGAUACAGCAAUGCUGAUUUUGAUUGGCUGUUCAGUAGAUAUACUUUAUUUGAUUGGCUUGCGCGUGGCACGCAGCUUCUGAACUCUCGGAGGAACUCAGUUGAUUCGUACCUGUUCCAUAAAGAGGUGCAACUUGGUGGACAUCACCAUGUUCAUUUAAAUGCGUGAGAAAUACGAUGUGUGGCGUGUGAGCGUGUGAACAGGUGGGAAUGCGUGUGUCUCACGCUGAGUGCGUGAGACUUGAGAGCCCUGCGUUAUUGUGGCAACAGAUUAACACAGAACACGUGUUUUGGUCCUUCUUUUAACCGAAAUAAUUCCAGAUAACUGACUUUCCUUUUCUUUUGGGCAACAAAUCUUCAUUUUCGGUGGUUUUCGCUUGUUCGUUGCUCAUUUUGCGAUCGUUGUUGUUGUUGUUAGCGGUGUUGUGCCGAGAAACGCAUGUCCUCCGAGAAUUGCAUGCACCUCGCAAAACGCGCACCGCUUAUAGUAGAGUGAUCCACGGAAAUGUACAAUUUAAAACCCAUACAGUUCUUAUUUGUUGGGCUAAACAGUCAUGAGUAAAGUUCCGAAAGUAAUUCUCAGCGGACACGAGUCUCCCUCCAUGUGCAGAACAUGUGCAGGGGUGGGUUUCCUCCUCUCUGAUUUUGAUUGACAGCUGGCAGGGUAGUCUGAUUGGCAACUGAGAAGUGAGUCUGAUUGGCAACUGAGUUAAGGACGAAUGUGAUUGGUGGAUCGCUGCAAAGCACAUGCAGAGUCACAUGCAGUGUAUCUCAGUCAGUUACCCUUGAAAUUAAAUGAGUUCAUUCACCUCCAAUAUCGCAGGCUCUGCGAUGUGACUAUCGCACACACGUACAUCGCGAUGACGAUAGUCAAACGAUAUAUCGUGCAGGCCUACCUGCAGCUAUCAAAAGUGGAUAGUCUUUUGUCACACAGACACAGGGGUGAACUUACUGAAACCAUCAUAGGAGAGCUGUGGUAAUGAAUGGAUUAAUAAUGAUAAAUAUUAUUCGCAGGCGCUGUUUAUAUGUUGGAUGGCUCGUCUCCACUGAAAAGGGGGGAGAAGAGAGAAGAACAAGCAAGGUAAGUUUCUUAAUCAGUUUUUGGGAAAUGGAAACAUGUGGUCUAGAUAUUGGAAGAAGACCACUUUUUUUAGACACAGAUUUCACAGAAACUUCAACUAAACAUGCAGUAGACAUUUGCCAUUGACAGUGGAACAAGGUAGGUGUCAUUUUAGUACCAUUUUAUUACCAAAAGUCAGAUUAAUAUCCAUUUGUUUUACAGUACUGUCGGCUGUGACCUUCAUGCAGUCCACACAGCCUUAUAAGCUGUUCUGUAAAGAAAUGCCGUAAUGUUUAACUGCAUGUCAUGGAGGUAUAGGAUUAAUUUAGG